AGCGCAGAUGAAAUUAGAUGAUGCUUGGCUGGGUUUUGAUAAGAUAUCUGCAAAUUGGACAAUGAAGGAAAAGCAACGGAAGGAUAGGAAGGCUCUUUCGUAAAUAUUGAAAGAGAAAAUAACUGCUAAUUUGGGGUUGAAAUUGGAGCAGUUGUGCAUGACCAAAAGUCUGAUGGGCAAAUUGCAUUUAAAGCAGAGACUGCAUUUCUAUCGCAUGGUAGAAUGAGGAUCCUUGGAAGACCACCUGGCUAUAUUCAUGGAAAUCGUCGCUAAUCUGGAAAUAUUGGAGGUCAAGUAUGAUGAAAAGAAUAUGGCCUUGAUCCUGUUGUGCUUGCUGCCUGCUUCGUAUUCGUCGUUUCAAGACACGAUUUUGUACAUUCGUAACACACUCAACAUUGACGAUGUUUAUG
This 410-nucleotide long non-coding RNA is filed under the name Olea europaea subsp. europaea. The record is from RNAcentral. Lineage: Eukaryota; Viridiplantae; Streptophyta; Magnoliopsida; Lamiales; Oleaceae.